This 467-nucleotide ribosomal RNA is filed under the name uncultured bacterium. RNAcentral describes it as "partial 16S ribosomal RNA". It matches the Rfam family "Bacterial small subunit ribosomal RNA", at positions 28 to 506 of the family's 1533-position model. The record is from RNAcentral.
GACGAACGCUGGCGGCGUGCUUAACCCAUGCAAGUCGAACGGAAAGUCCCUGCUUUUGUGGGGUGCUCGAGUGGCGAACGUGUGAGUAACACGUGAGUAACCUGCCCUUGACUUUGGUAUUACUUCAGGAACCUGGGGCUAAUACCGGAUAGGAGUUCCUGCUGCAUGGUGGGGGUUGGAAAGUUUCGGCGGUUGGGGUUGGACUCGCGGCUGAUCAGCUUGUUGGUGGGGAAUUUGCUUACCAAGGCUUUGACGGGUAUCCGGCCCGCGAGGGUGACCGGGAACAUUGGGACUGAGAGAACGACCAGACUCCUACGGGAGGCAGCAGUGGGGAGUAUGGCACAAGGGGCGGAAGCCUGAUGCAGGAUCGCCGCGUGCGGGAUGACGGCAUUCGGGUGGAAAACCGCUUUCGCCUGUGACGAAGCGUGAGUGACGGUAAUGGGUGAAGAAGCACCGGCUAACUACGU